This 465-nucleotide ribosomal RNA is filed under the name uncultured organism. RNAcentral's name for it is "bacterial SSU rRNA". It matches the Rfam family "Bacterial small subunit ribosomal RNA", at positions 28 to 507 of the family's 1533-position model. The record is from RNAcentral.
GACGAACGCUGGCGGCGCGCCUAACACAUGCAAGUCGAACGGAGAUAAGAUUUCGGUUUUAUCUUAGUGGCGGACGGGUGAGUAACGCGUGAGCAACCUGGCCUUUAGAGGGGGAUAACGUCUGGAAACGGACGCUAAUACCGCAUAACGUACAGAGGCGGCAUCGUUUUUGUACCAAAGGAGAAAUCCGCUGAAGGAUGGGCUCGCGUCCGAUUAGGUAGUUGGUGAGGUAAAGGCCCACCAAGCCCGCGAUCGGUAGCCGGAUUGAGAGAUUGGCCGGCCACAUUGGGACUGAGACACGGCCCAGACUCCUACGGGAGGCAGCAGUGGGGGAUAUUGCACAAUGGAGGAAACUCUGAUGCAGCGACGCCGCGUGAGGGAAGAAGGUCUUCGGAUUGUAAACCUCUGUCUUCAGGGACGAAGAAAGUGACGGUACCUGAAGAGGAAGCCACGGCUAACUACGUG